This is a long non-coding RNA of Meriones unguiculatus (Mongolian gerbil), 2924 nucleotides long. RefSeq lists it as uncharacterized. The record is from RefSeq and is a predicted model, not a curated record. The transcript is spliced from 4 exons. Lineage: Eukaryota; Metazoa; Chordata; Mammalia; Rodentia; Muridae.
GCUUGCACAUUCAAUCAAAAAUCCUUCCACCUGCCAUGGCUCCCACUUGGCGUGCACAGGGAUGCAGAGAGAACUCGGACACAUCAUAUUGUCCUCUAAGAUCUGAGACUGUACUAGCCCUGGCUAUUUGGCUAGGCUUCCGGUACCAGGCAUGUUUCCCUCCUGCUGACUUAGCUGGAUUGGAAAGAGCUGGUUGUCACGGCCAAGGUAGUGUGUUACUACCACAUCCUCAGGGCUGUUGCGCCACGCUGGUCACUGCGUGCUUCAUGGGCAUCACAGCUGUCUGGACGUUGUUGCUUCCCUCCUGGAGAUGCUGGUCCAGUACCUUCUGGCAUCAUGGAAGUCAGUUCUCAGGGAGGAGGCAUUCAGCAGCUGCUGUUGAAGGACAACACCAGUGCAGCCCACGGUGGCCUAGCACUCACCUCACCGUAUGGCUCAUGUUAACUUCAUACUCGUGACAAUACAGCUUCCCAAGAGCUGGAAUUUGCGCACGCAUCCCCUAAGGCUGGUUGUCUCUCGGAUGCCUGGUGACAGUAAAGGACCUACAGAUCAGAGCGAGUGAGUGCUCACUAAAGAUUAUCCAGAAAACUCUGCUUUGCCUCCUCCUGACAUAGGAUUAAACGACUUCAAAUUCUUCUGCCCUGGAAAAAACAGCCCAGGAACAACCUCUCCAUGGGCAGAAGGUGUAAUGGCAGUGGAGUCACCCCCCAUCAAGUGGGCUCCAGUGCUGUGGUCAGUGGUUCCCGCCCAACAGUGUCUGGCACCAGAAACAGCAUACUGGAUAAAUACAAGUGGGUGGCUAGUUUAAGACCUAAGACAGGGCUCUUAUAUUUUAUGUUGUGACAAGCGCAUGAGCUGAGGGUCCCAUGCUUUUCUAGUGUGAUUGCAGUUUUCUAAAGGGGAAAAAAAAAUUAGGUAAUAUUCCUCUCGUCGAUUUUAGCCCCAAAUGGGAGCCAGGUGUUCAAAUGCGUGAGCCUCUGGGGAACAUUUCUCAUUCUAACUACCAUAUUACACACAGCAGGUGUGUGCGUGUGUGUGUGUGCGCUCGUGUGCAGGGAGGACAGGGAUCAGUGUCUACUCUGGUAGGCCCUGUCUUCCUCGGUUGUUUUCUGUGUUAUUUGAAGGUCAGCCUCACUGAACCAGCAGCUCACCAACUCAGAUAGGCUGGCUAGCUGUCAAGUUCCAGCAGUCCACCUCAGCAGUGGUGGGGCACGGAGGCUAUCGCACACGGCUUCUGAUGACAUGCUUGCCUACCAAGCACUUCUGGCUGAGCCACCUGCCCAGUAUGGAGCCAUUCUUCAGAAAACAAAAACUCACUGGAAGGUUGAGGACAGACAAAGCACAAUUUGACUCAUUUUUAAAUUUUUAUUUUUUAUUUUUUGGUGUUUUGAGACAGUUUCCUCUGUGUAAUAGUCCUGGCUGUUCUGGAACUCUCUUUGCAGGCCAGGCUGUCCUCCAACUCACAGAGGUCCACCUGCCUAUGGCUCCUGGGUGCUGGGAUUAAAGGUGUGUGUCACAGCGACUGGCUGGGCCACUUUUUUGUGUUUGUUGUUCUCAAAUUUUUAUUCUGAAAAUGAGAAUUCUUUGUCUUUAGAUUUAUUUAUUUGUUCAUUUAUUUAUUUAUUGGUUUUCCAAGAGAGGGUUUCUCUGUGUAGCCUUGGCUGUCCUGGACUCACUUUGUAGAUUUUUAAUUUUUAAUUGUGUGUGUCUGUGUGUGCCUGUGCCCACAGAGUCCAGAAGAAGGGCUGGAUCCCCUGGAACAGGAGUCAAAAGCUGGGUGCUGGGAACUGAGCCUCAUUCUCUUCAGCAACAGUAGGCGCUCCUAACCACCCAGCCAUUUCUUUAGCUCUGCUUGCUUGUUUUUCGAAAGGAUAUGCUGUAGCUCAGGCGGGCCUCAAACUCUGCAGCUGAGGCUCUUUGAACUCCUGAUCCUUCUGCCUCAUCUUCCAAGGCCUGGGGUUCAGGUAUGCAGAACCAUGCCUAGCUUUGGUCCACAUUUUGUUCCUUUGACUGCAACAUUGAGAAUUAAUUGUAGGCUAAUGGACAGGGUGUCGUUGACCUUGAUUUUUUUUUUUUAAACAAAUCCACUUUAUUUAGGGUUAUUAAAUGCUUCUACCUCCCUUUAACCCCCCUCCCCCCAAAACCGCAUAGGAGGGAAAGAAGGUUAGUAGGGUCAGGGGCCGGAGUUCUCUUUGCUACUUCCUGCUGGGUAGGGUCAUAGGAUUCUGUUGGGGACAAUAUCAAUAGUGAAGAAACCCAGCAAACAGCAAAUGCAGCAGCAGGACGACCCAGCAGUCCUCCUCCAAGCAGCCCGGCCUUCUUCCCCUAGACUGUCAUAUUUAUAUACCCCCCCCGCCCCAGUCCUCAGACUUCAACCAAUUCCACCUGGCAAAGACCCCGCCCCUCAUGAGACACAAGUGUGGACAAACUAAAAUCCCCAACUUGGAACUGUAACAAAAACAUGUUUACCUAUCAUAAAUCAAGACAUCCAGGACAGGAUGCGGAUGCUAUUAUAAUAAUGCUAUAAAGUUAUGGUUCAACUUCUUUAAUGAUUAACUGGGUAUUGGUGGGGGCAGCUGAGAGAGUUGACUUAAGAACCUCAGGGGAAAAGAGAAGGAACUCGCAGAUAAGGGAAAAGGAGCGAGCUGGGUAUCUCUACACCUUCCCGGAGAAGGCAAUAUGGGAGCUGAAUCUGGAAGCGGAGGAGGGCGUAGGGGGCUAGUUUGUGCUCGACCUCACACUCUCCUGAGGGAUGGAGUCCUACAGUGCCACUACAGGCCCUCGAGUCUUAUGCAAUGGGAGAAAGGGCCAUUUCAGGAAUGUUCUGAAGAAAUAGGGUGAAAGACCACUAGAGCCUAGGUUUAUGUGGAAGGAGAGCCUGGGGCGCCACGGCAAGCUGGAGAGAGGUCUUGGCUUGGCUUACA